Dermacentor andersoni is the source of this 484-nucleotide long non-coding RNA. RefSeq lists it as uncharacterized. NCBI's taxonomy places the organism in Eukaryota, Metazoa, Arthropoda, Arachnida, Ixodida, Ixodidae. The record is from RefSeq and is a predicted model, not a curated record.
GCCAGCAGAUUUGCUGCGGUGUGUUUUAGCGUGCGACGCAAUGGUAACUCAUAUUAAGUGAAAUGGCGUCUGUGUUGAGGACUUAAGGCAACAUUUUUCUUUUAUUACAUCCCAUUGACCGAUCCUAACGCUAAUGCACAUGUGAAUUGGAUUUUUCAUGUAAGGAGACGGCCAGCGACGAUGACUUGGGGGAUCUGCCAAGCUGUCCUUUCAUCUGCGCGAGAGGAUGGACUUUUCUCACUGCUAAUUCAUACACAAUCUGCGUGGACACCCAUCCAGUACUUCAUGCAUCGAAGCCAGACGAGGCCUUCAAGCUGCUGUUCUUUGCCCAUUUUGCUUUUAACAUCCAGUACCAGAAGGAGACUAGCCUGUGCUUGGAAUUCACACAGAGGGCUAUUGCAGGUAUUAAUCCUGCAAGAGGAACAAAGGUGCAAAAGAAUGGCGGGAAGCAGCACUGCCUGUCACCAAGAGUGGCUGCACUCGU